AAUAGACUAGAAUGAAAGUGGAAGUUUGAGUCAGAAACAAAUGAAUUCUAUGAAACACAGUAGACUAAUAGUGAGAUGGUUCAAAAAGAUAAUCAUCUUUUGCAGUUUCUGUGGAUAUAAAUAAAUAAACAAAAAAUAAGAUUACAUAUAAAAGGAUUGAGGAAUUAUGGAAAAUACAUUUAAAUAAAGAUAUUCUAUUAUGUUGAUUUCAAAAUGUUACUAAAAGAAAAUCUGGAAUAUGGAAAAAAGUUCUCUGAUCUUUUAAGAUGCUCAACUGACAAAACUCAGGAUUUUACUUUCGAAUUAAGUUUAUUAUUUAUGGAAUAG
Molecule: long non-coding RNA, 327 nt
Organism: Centruroides sculpturatus (bark scorpion)
Lineage: Eukaryota; Metazoa; Arthropoda; Arachnida; Scorpiones; Buthidae
Exons: 3
Source: RefSeq, a predicted model, not a curated record